UACGGGAGGCAGCAGUGGGGAAUAUUGGACAAUGGGCGAAAGCCUGAUCCAGCAACGCCGCGUGAGGGAAGACGGCCUUCGGGUUGUAAACCUCUUUCAGUAGGGACGAAGCGAAAGUGACGGUACCUCCAGAAGAAACACCGGCCAAAUUCGUUCCAGCAGCCGCGGUAAUAAGUAGGGUGCCAGCGUUGUCCGGAAUUAUUGGGGGUAAAAGGCUGGUAGGCGGUUUGUCUAAUUGGGAGUGAAAACUCCGGGGUUAACCCCGAGCCUGCUUUCGAUACGGGCAGACUAGAGGUAUGCAGGGGAGAAGGGAAUUCCUGGUGUAGCGGUGAAAUGGGCAGAUAUCAGGAGGAACACCGGUGGGGAAGGCGGUUCUCUGGGCAUUACCUGACGCUGAGGAGCGAAAAUGUGGGGAGCGAACAGGAUUAGAUACCCUGGUAGUCCACACCGUAAACGUUGGGCGCUAGGUGUGGGACUCAUUCCACGAGUUCCGUGCCGCAAGCUAACGCAUAAGCGCUCCGC
Molecule: ribosomal RNA, 522 nt
Filed under: uncultured Actinomycetes bacterium
Lineage: Bacteria; Bacillati; Actinomycetota; Actinomycetes
Description: bacterial SSU rRNA
Rfam family: Bacterial small subunit ribosomal RNA
Source: RNAcentral